AAGAUAAAGGAUCCAGAAGGAGAAGACGUUUGGCUUAUACCCCAGUUGAGCUGCCUGUGGGAGUGGAGCUGAAGCCAUCGCUAGACCGUUAAUUCCGCCGCUGUUUUCUUUUCUUUGUAAGUAUGUAACGUUAUUAUUAAGAUGGAUUUGUAUAUUAAAAUUGUCAGUUUGUGUACCUCGGCUGAUUCCUGGACGAGGAUUUUAUGCACAAAUAAGUUCGGAAAUUACUAGUGAAUUUCCGGGCGUGACAGUGGAGGUGGGUUGCCCUGAUGGUUGUGGUUGCUGCCUUCAGGUUGGUUGCCAUCACCGGUGGCAGCAUUUCUCCUGGUCGUCACCAUCUGAAAACCCCACACAGAACCAACAAACAGAGAGAGCUGACAAUUAAAGCUAACCACCCACGACUACCAUAAUUCUUAAAUUUAUUACUGCUAUUAAAUUGGUUCAUUAAGGUUCAAGUUGCUUAGGCGAAUAAAUAAAGACAGGCUCCGACACAGUUACACCACACACCAGCAUAACUGUGCCCUACACAACCCAACAAGAAGACAAACGAGAAAGAACACACGCGCAAGCCUACUAACUGCUCGUCUA
RNAcentral lists this long non-coding RNA (588 nucleotides) under Oryza sativa (Asian cultivated rice). RNAcentral describes it as "long non-coding RNA (OSAT_LNC001613)". The record is from RNAcentral. Lineage: Eukaryota; Viridiplantae; Streptophyta; Magnoliopsida; Poales; Poaceae.